UACGUAGGGGGCAAGCGUUGUCCGGAUUUAUUGGGCGUAAAGAGCUUGUAGGCGGUUUGUCGCGUCUGCUGUGAAAAUCCGGGGCUCAACCCCGGACUUGCAGUGGGUACGGGCAGACUAGAGUGUGGUAGGGGAGACUGGAAUUCCUGGUGUAGCGGUGGAAUGCGCAGAUAUCAGGAGGAACACCGAUGGCGAAGGCAGGUCUCUGGGUCGUAACUGACGCUGCGGAGCGAAAGCGUGGGGAUCAAACAGG
This 253-nucleotide ribosomal RNA is filed under the name uncultured bacterium. Its description in RNAcentral is "partial 16S ribosomal RNA". It matches the Rfam family "Bacterial small subunit ribosomal RNA", at positions 524 to 776 of the family's 1533-position model. The record is from RNAcentral.